Molecule: long non-coding RNA, 682 nt
Organism: Musca domestica (house fly)
Lineage: Eukaryota; Metazoa; Arthropoda; Insecta; Diptera; Muscidae
Exons: 8
Source: RefSeq, a predicted model, not a curated record
GAAAUAUCUUCUCUACUACAAAAAACACGGAGGAGUGUACACGUUGUUGGCCGGUUCUUGAUAUAUAUUUAAGAGAAUCUUUUGUAAUACAUUAAAAAUAAAAAUUUUAAUCCGCGAUUUUCUGUGAAAUCCUUAAACAAAUUCAAUAUGUUUUUCUUUCAACAUAAAGCGAACUAUGUUGAUAAUUAUAAACUACGAGUAUUUUGUGGAAGCUAGUUAAUUUUAUGAAACAAUGUCCCUUGGUCUUCUCAUUAUGGGCGAUGAAGGAAAUUGCACUCACAAAUGGUUAUGGUUUGGUGAUUUAUUCCCAAGAUGUGAUGAUCAUGACCAUCAACAUUAUGAAACGAUAUCUAAAUUACAGCCGGAUGAAGAUUAGUCCUCUAAAAUCGUGAAAUGUUUUGAAUAAGAUUCUCUCCCAAUUUAUUAUAAACGGUUGUGGACUCUUUGCUCGUAUCUUGGAAAAACUUUCCAAAAGGCAAGACAACUCAUUCACCCGACCCGAGCUCCAAAUGCCGAAAAAGCAUUUUUGCAAGAAAAUUUGGAAUGCUGAUGCCCUGUAAUCUAUGGAGGAAGUAUAUCCUAAAGGUUGGAAAUCUUAUUGUGAUGCUUGUGUGUGGUGUGCGGCAGUGUGGAAUUAAUUUGUAAUAAAAAAUCCCAAUAAAUAAAUAUAUUUCAAUCAAAA